AUCUUGAACAGGUAUAUCGGGUACCUAGACUGUGUGGGAUGGCUUUUAUAGUACCACCUACACUAGAGUUUAAUAUGUGGGAGGGAGAUGUCAGAAUUAUUAGAGUAGAGAUGAAAUCCUUUAAUACUAAUAGGACUGAUAAUGGCGAAGGCAAACCUCUAUGUAUAUGUACUUUAAAAAAUGGUCUAUUGUGGAUUUAAAUACAAUAGGAAAUAUAGGUAAAAGAAAACUAUAUACAAGUUAUCACCAUGUAUGCCUAAUGAAUAAUAAAUAUAAUAAAGUACUAAACUGACGUUGAGGGACGAAGGCUCAGAGAGUGAAGAGGAUUAGAUACCCCCGUAGCCUGGGCAGACAAUGAUGAGUGCCAUAGGUUGGCUUUAAGUUGAACUAUAAAUGAAAGUGGAAGCACUCCACCUCAAGAGUAAUGUGGCAACGCAGGAACUGAAAUCAUUAGACCGUUUCUGAAACCAGUAGUGAAGUAUGUUAUUUAAUUCGAUGAUCCGCGAACAACCUUACCACAAUUUGAAUGUUCUAAUUUUUAUAUAAUUUAUAUAGUUAAACCAUAAUUAAUGUAAUUUAAUAAAAUUAUAUUUAUAAAGUAUAUUAUGUAAUUAUAUCACAUAGAUCACAUGCGUUGCAUGGCUGUCUUCAGUUAAUGUCGUGAGAUUUGGUUAGGUCCAUUAAAUUAACGUAAACCCUUGCUUUAUUUAAUGUAAUAAGGCAGCUCUCCGCUUACAAUUGGAUAUGACAACAGGGACUAAGACAAGUCAUCAU
Molecule: ribosomal RNA, 774 nt
Filed under: Pleosporormiella terricola
Lineage: Eukaryota; Fungi; Ascomycota; Dothideomycetes; Pleosporales; Sporormiaceae
Description: mitochondrial SSU rRNA
Rfam family: Bacterial small subunit ribosomal RNA
Source: RNAcentral